ACGGGAGGCAGCAGUGGGGAAUCUUGCGCAAUGGGCGAAAGCCUGACGCAGCGACGCCGCGUGCGGGAAGAAGGCCUUCGGGUUGUAAACCGCUUUCAGGAGGGACGAAGCCACUCGGGUUAAUAGCCCAGAGGGUGACGGUACCUCCAGAAGAAGCCCCGGCUAACUACGUGCCAGCAGCCGCGGUAAUACGUAGGGGGCUAGCGUUGUCCGGAUUUAUUGGGCGUAAAGAGCGUGUAGGCGGCCAGGCAGGUCCGCUGUGAAAACUCGAGGCUUAACCUCGAGACGUCGGUGGAAACCGUCUGGCUAGAGUCCGGAAGAGGAGAGUGGAAUUCCCGGUGUAGCGGUGAAAUGCGCAGAUAUCGGGAAGAACACCCGUGGCGAAGGCGGCUCUCUGGGACGGUACUGACGCUGAGACGCGAAAGCGUGGGGAGCGAACAGGAUUAGAUACCCUGGUA
Molecule: ribosomal RNA, 458 nt
Filed under: uncultured Gaiellales bacterium
Lineage: Bacteria; Bacillati; Actinomycetota; Thermoleophilia; Gaiellales
Description: bacterial SSU rRNA
Rfam family: Bacterial small subunit ribosomal RNA
Source: RNAcentral